RNAcentral lists this long non-coding RNA (227 nucleotides) under Physcomitrium patens. RNAcentral describes it as "long non-coding RNA (PPAT_LNC006160)". Lineage: Eukaryota; Viridiplantae; Streptophyta; Bryopsida; Funariales; Funariaceae. The record is from RNAcentral.
UUAUAUUUUUAUUUUUUUUCUCUCUUCUUUUUGAUCUUUCUUUCUUUUUUUCUCUUGCUCUUUUUUUGUCUCUUUUUAUCUUGUAUUUUCUUGCUCUUUUCUACUCUCUCUCUUUUUCUUUUGGAUUUUUUUUUCCUACUUUCUUUCUCUCUUCCACUCUACCUUACUUUUUUUCUUUUUCUCUUUCUUGUAUUUUUUUGAUAUUUCUUUCUUUUUUUCUUAAACUC